Lolium perenne is the source of this 3063-nucleotide long non-coding RNA. RefSeq lists it as uncharacterized. Lineage: Eukaryota; Viridiplantae; Streptophyta; Magnoliopsida; Poales; Poaceae. The record is from RefSeq and is a predicted model, not a curated record.
CUAGCCAUUCUGCGUUCGCUCCCCCAAUCGCUCUCGUUUUCUCCUCCCUGAUUCUCCUCGUCCGUCCGCCGCCGCUGCCUCCUCUCCGGCGAGCCGCCGUCGCCCACGUCCGCUCGCCGUCGCCCACGUCCGCCCGCCGUCGCCCGCCUCCUCUCCGGUGAUCCAAGGACGAGCGGCUGUGGCUGGCACGGCCGCGCUCGCCUCGUCUUCAUAGGCUCCGGCGAGGCAGGGCCAUGGGUGUCGAAAACCCUAGCCGCCACAAGCCAAUCCCUUGCUAGCUUUCUCCCACAAUCCCCACGCAUGGCUCUCCCUAAUCCCCUUCCCUUGACUUCUCCUCUCCCACCAUGGCCACCAAAGAGGAGCGGCUAGAGGAUGGUCGGAGGCACUGCUUGUGCACAUAAGGAGGAGCACGAGGCGCAGCUACCGGUGAGGGCAUAGAGGAAGAGGAUGAGGUGAGGGGGAGGAGUGGUGAAGAGAUGCUUGACGGAGGCAGAAGAGAGACCGCCUGCGGUGAGCUGCAUCUCCAAUCGACCUCCAUCGUCCAUCCCUGGAUUUACUUUGGGUCGUGCGGCGGCCGGCGGCCGGCCGGCAGGCCCGGGCUCUGCCUUGCCGCUCCACCCGACCCCUUAUCUGUGGCAGAUGGAGGGCUUCAACGGCGCUGGUUUGAGCUCUCUCUCCCUCCGGCUAAAUGUCAAGGUGGAUCUUGUGGUGAACAUGGUGGAGCUUGGCAGCCUGACUGCCAACGACCUGCUUGUCCGUGCUAGAGAGUAUGUGCAGCAGCUUGCAGAGGCAUAGAUGCCUUUGAUCUCAUCAUACAAAAAUGUGGAUAGCGAGAGGUGUGGUGCAUCUGAUGGUCGGAAAGGCCUAUUGCCACGGACUUGCAUCGAAGUUUUGUAGGAUUGUCUAAAACUAUUGAUCUACUGUCAUUGUUUGUUACCUGCAUCUGUUCGUUUUGCUAAAGAUUUAUGCUUGCUGUAGCUUUUGGCUCACAAGCCUCACAGGUUAGUGUCUUCUUCAUUUCUUCGUCUGAUAUUGUGUUCAAAGUGGCUUCAUAUAUUUCUUGAGAGUGGUGUCUUCAUUUCUUCGUCUGAUAUUGUGCUCAAAGUGGCUUCAUAUAUUUCUUGAGAGUAGUCAUCCUGAAGUUGAUUUACAUUUCCCGCAAGUAGCUCUGUUAUAUGCACAUAAAUUUCAUAUGAGUUGAUAUAAAAUCUUUAUAUCUCAUUUGAUCUUUAUAAAAGCUCAUAAUGAAAUCUUGAAUUCAGCAUUCUUUAAAUAUAUGAGAUUGAGGUUAUAAAGGUUGAGCCAUAGAUAGAGAAACUAAUCCAAUUAUUGUUGAUACCUCAGUUUCAGGUUUCUAAGAGUAUCGCCGUAGAUUAUGAGAGAUGGAUUCCUAAUAGCUUCUUUUUGAUUUACUAAAGGCAUGAACCACAUAUAAAGUUCAGAGAAAAUUUAAAGCUCAUUUGGAACGACUGAAAAUGUUUAAAGUUCAUUCAUACAUUUAUUUUCUCUUCAUAGUCCAUUAACAGGCUAACGGCCUUCGAUUUAUCUCGCUCCUGUUGCGGAAAUUAAUCGAGUAUGAAGCAAAUAGGAUGAUAUUUUUCUGUAGAGACCCCUGAUGUCUUCUUUCAUGUCCCGGACAUUCCCAAGGAUAUUCAGGGUUCCCUAUAAAGAAUAUUAUUCGAUCUUAUGCUAAAAUCAUGGUCUUUCAAAGGCUGAGUACCAUCUUGAAUUAUUAGAAGAUAGCAAAGUUCGUGAGAAUUGCUCUUUAACGCAUCUACAUGUCGAUGUCUGGACCCCAGUCCAAUGAUUUAUGAAAUAACAAAGAAAGUUGCUGACAAGCUUAAGGGCACAACAUUAUCUGCCAGUUGUUGUUUGGAUGAUUUGUUGCUGCUAGAGAGGGGGAUGGGAAGAGAAAGAAGAAAUGGUGAGGGAGGUUGAAAAGGAGCCAACAGAUGAACAUGGAUCUGCAAUAAUCAGAAACUACUUUGGUGGUGGAUGGAUGUUUGCAUCAGAUCUGAGGGUGCAAUGGUGGUCCUGAAGCAUUUCCAUGAGGUGUUUAGUGCAUAUAUGAAGAAUCAGGGGUACAAAUUGGGGACUUUCCAACAAUUAUGAAGAAGUGUGAUCUUAAACACCGACCAUGCGAUGAAAUCUGUAGAUGUUUCUGCAAGUUUUGCUUCAGCGAUGUUUGCCUCUUUGCCCCUUGCUUGAUUGGGCUACUUAACUGGGAAAUCGUCGGCUGCAUCUUACUUUCAGGUUUGACACUUUGGCGCUUGCUUGAUUCGGCUGCUCCUAGAAAAAGUUUCUGCAAGUUCUGUUUCGUUGAUGUUUGCCUCGAUGGGAAUGGAUCUACUUGUCGGGAUUAAUAAGCUUUGUGGAUGUAUUAGGUUGUGACUUGGUCUGGUCCUCGGUGUACUGAUUUAGCAAAUAGCUUGAAUCGGGCCAGUCACAAUACAGAUUGCUGCUCUUUUCCUUGACGGACAAAUUAGACUUAUCAUUUGCUGCUAUUGUUACAAAUCUUAUAGCUACAUGCAGGUAUGAGAACCAGGAUCAGAAGACUAUGGGAUGUAUUUUCCUUACUAAUGUUUGCCAGAGUUUCUUUGAAUAUGCAAUGUUCUGAUCCAGUUUCAUCCUAUUUUUGUAUGGUUAGCCACCCGCAAUAUUUUUGGCUUCUAUGAUGGUUCAGUUUUGUUCGUGCACCAGAUGAAGUUGCAAGUGUAAAAAGCCUUAUGUUGACAGUAGACAAUACCAUGUAGGAAUUCAUGCCAAUCUUAGGGUCCCUGUUUACUGUUAGUACCUCUUUCAUUUCUUCAGCAAUUUUUCUGUUCAGAGAGGCUUCAUAUGUUUGUUGAGUGGGAAUCCUUAAGUUGCUCUAGAAUUUCCAAAUAAAGUGGCUCUAAUUCAUAUCUACAUUUUUGUGUGAGUUCACAUUAAUAUUUGAAUCUCAUUUGGGUUUUCAAAUAGUAUUGCUUGAAAAUAUAUGUAUGGACAGAACAGUUAGAGCAACUCAUGGAAAUUUUAAACCUGAUCUUUUGAACCAAUGGUCGCUGCAUUCAAUUUAGUUCA